GGACAGUGUAGCGGCUGUCUGUGACCAAGUGGCACUAAGGAAGAUGGAGGGCUUCUGGGCCUCGUAUCACUUGGGCAUGUGUGCUGAAGUCGGGUCCGACCUAAGCUGGGUGUCAACAUAGUUUCCCUUCCGGAGGGAAGGUUAACUCGGUUGUCUAAGGAGGGGGGCAACGCGUCAGGCCGGAAACGGAACAGCGAAAACCCGCCGCACUCGGCAGUAGGCGGAUAGCCUGACU
Molecule: signal recognition particle RNA, 235 nt
Filed under: Coccolithus braarudii
Lineage: Eukaryota; Haptophyta; Coccolithales; Coccolithaceae
Description: partial Metazoan signal recognition particle RNA
Rfam family: Metazoan signal recognition particle RNA
About the family: The signal recognition particle (SRP) is a universally conserved ribonucleoprotein. It is involved in the co-translational targeting of proteins to membranes.
Source: RNAcentral